UCGGCUCAGCCGUUCAAAAGUAGUAACGAAAUGAAUAAUGAUAAAGUCGGGGGUUUUUUAAUUUGUAUUUUUUGGGUUCCAAUAUUAUAUUUACACUAGCUGCGCCCCCGAGCUUCGCUCCCGUGGCAAUUUCGGGAUAAAAAUUACCCUAUGUGUUAUUCCAGGUUAUAUUCUACCCGUGUACCAAAUUUCAUAGCAAUCUGUGCAAUAGAUUUUGCGUGAAAGAGUAACAAACGUACAUACACACAUCCUCACAAACGUUAGCCUUUAUAAUAUUAGGAGGAUUGUAAUUGCCAAUACACAUUAUUUCAGUCAUGAUGGAAAAUGAUCUUUUUCUGAUUGGCCCGGGUCUUGGAUGUUUAUCUAUAUAUGUAUAUGUUAUAAAAUGUAGUAUCGUUGAGUUAGUAUCCCGUAAUACAAAUCUGUGUGAUUUGUCCUUACUUUAAUUUAUUUAUAAUAAUGAUGUUCACAGAUUCAUAGAGAAGCUCCAAGAAGUGUUGGACGGUAACCGUGCAGUGACCAUAGUGUUGGACGACCCCGCUGGUAACUCGUAUGUUCAGAGCUUGGCCGACGACCCGACCACACCAGACGAAGGUGUUAAGAUAACGAGAUACGAGCGCUCACACGAACAGAACGAGGAGCUAGGACUCAAUGAUAUGAAGACUGAAGGAUACGAGGAAAGCUAGCGGGCGUCAUUACGUUUUAAUGUAUUUUAACCCAAGCAGAGAAUAAAUAUAUUUGUUUAUU
This is a long non-coding RNA of Plodia interpunctella (Indianmeal moth), 747 nucleotides long. RefSeq lists it as uncharacterized. The record is from RefSeq and is a predicted model, not a curated record. Lineage: Eukaryota; Metazoa; Arthropoda; Insecta; Lepidoptera; Pyralidae. The transcript has 2 exons.